UUCCGGUUGAUCCUGCCGGAGGUCACUGCUAUCGGGAUUCGACUAAGCUAUGCGAGACGCGAGUCAUCUGGACUCGUCGAACUGCUCAGUAACACGUAGUUAACUUACCCUCAAGUGGAGGAUAAUCCUGGGAAACUGGGGCUAAUACUCCAUAGUUGUAUCAUGCUGGAAUGCUUUUACAACCAAAGCUCCGGCGCUUGAGGAUAGGACUGCGGCCUAUCAUGGCUGUUGUGAGUGUAAUGUACUCACAAACCUGUAACGGGUAGGGGUCAUGAAAGUGAGAGCCCCGAGAUGCUUUCUGAGACAUGAAAGCAGGUCCUACGGGACGCAGCAAGCGCGCAACCUUUCCAAUGGCUUAACGGUCGAGAAGGGAAUCCUGAGUGAUUAUACUAUGUAUAGUCUUUUGCUUUGUCUAAAUCGCAAGGCGAAUAAGAGGUGGGUAAGACGGGUGGCAGCCGCCGCGGUAAUACCCGCGCCUCGAGUGGUGACCACUAUUAUUGGGUUUAAAGCGUCCGUAGCCGGUUUGGCAAGUUCUUGGUGAAAUCCAAUAGCUAACUAUUGGGCUUGCUGAGAAUACUACCAGACUUGGGAUUGGGAGAGGAUAGGGGUAUUCCAUGUGUAGGGGUUAAAUCCUUUAAUCCAUGGAGGACCACCGGUGGCGAAGGCGCCUAUCUAGAACAAGUCCGACGGUGAGGGACGAAAGCGUGGGGAGCAAAUGGGAUUAGAUAUAAAUCUUUCUAAUCCGCUGAUACCAAAGAUGAUUGGAGGGUUUACUAGAAACCCCAGUAGUCCACGCCGUAAACGAUGCCCGCUUGAUGUUGCAAACUUUACGAGAGUUUGCAGUGUCGGAGUGUAAAUGUUAAGCGGGCCACCUGGGGAGUACGGCCGCAAGGCUAAAACUUAAGGGAAUUGGCGGGAGAGCACACAAGGGGUGGAGCUUGCGGUUUAAUUGGAUUCAACGCCGGG
RNAcentral lists this ribosomal RNA (966 nucleotides) under uncultured archaeon. Its description in RNAcentral is "bacterial SSU rRNA". It matches the Rfam family "Archaeal small subunit ribosomal RNA", at positions 1 to 922 of the family's 1478-position model. The record is from RNAcentral.